ACUUCUUUAGUAUAAUUAGUACAAUUGACUUCCAAUCAAUUAGUUCCAGACCAACCCGGAAAGAAGUA
This 68-nucleotide transfer RNA is filed under the name Cuon alpinus (dhole). RNAcentral describes it as "tRNA-Gly". It matches the Rfam family "tRNA". Rfam says of the family: Transfer RNA (tRNA) molecules are approximately 80 nucleotides in length. The record is from RNAcentral. Lineage: Eukaryota; Metazoa; Chordata; Mammalia; Carnivora; Canidae. RNAcentral also lists the same sequence under 1 other name.